This 117-nucleotide ribosomal RNA is filed under the name Salvator merianae (Argentine black and white tegu). The record is from RNAcentral. Lineage: Eukaryota; Metazoa; Chordata; Lepidosauria; Squamata; Teiidae.
GCCUCANCACUUAGACUGGCCCUAUCCAGUCUUUUCUGACCUUGGAAGCUAAGCAGGCUCAGGCCUGGUUGACCUUUCAGUGGGAGACUGCAUAGAAAUAGAAAAGUGUUGUAGGCU